RNAcentral lists this transfer RNA (64 nucleotides) under Pselaphinae sp. 12 EF-2015. RNAcentral describes it as "tRNA-Phe". Lineage: Eukaryota; Metazoa; Arthropoda; Insecta; Coleoptera; Staphylinidae. The record is from RNAcentral.
AUUUAAAUAGCUUAAUUAGAGCAUAAUAUUGAAGAUAUUAAGGUGAUAAAAUUAUCUUUAAAUA